This 796-nucleotide long non-coding RNA is filed under the name Fukomys damarensis (Damara mole-rat). Its description in RNAcentral is "lncRNA (ENSFDAG00000030583.1)". Lineage: Eukaryota; Metazoa; Chordata; Mammalia; Rodentia; Bathyergidae. The record is from RNAcentral.
CAAUCCCUUAAGAUAAAUCCCUCUGCAUAUAUAACUAAUUGUGUUUCUUUGGAAAACAUAAGUGGGUCCCCAUUAGGAAAUUUCUCACAGUUAGCAGAUUAUGAUCAACUCUGGGAAGAGAAGAGCAGAACUAUUUUGAGAUAUAAAUAUAAAAUGCUUGGCCUCGUAAACCCAGAUAAGAUGUGUCUAAAAUCAUGUCUGUGCCGGGCUGGAGCAGGAUGUGUUUCAGAGAGAAGCAAGGAAAAGUAGAAAAAUAGCAGCAGCAGCAGCAGCAGGAAAGAUCACCACUACAACCACCACCACCACCAUCACCACAGACAGCUACAAGCCAACCCACUAACAAAAUAUGAUGGAAGAAGCCCAUAUAGAUGCAGAAGGACUUCACAAAAUGGCCCAGCACCAAGGACCCAUAACUAUCCAGGCCUUUUCACUCUCUGCCUUUUGGUAAGAUUCAGUUAUUUCAUUUGUAUUACCAUAUUAUCAUUAUUAUUUGUACUAGGGAACGAACUCAGGACCUUGCACUUGUGAAGUAGGCAUGGUGCCAUUGAGCUAAAUCCCUGGCCCAGUAUUAUUACUUUUCUUUUUUUUUUCCCCAGUACCAAGGAUUGAACUCAGUACCUUGCUCUUGUGAGGCAGGCACAGUGACACUGAGCUAAAUCCCAGGACCGGUAUUAUUUUUGAGACGGGUUCUCACUAUGCAGUUUAGGCUGGCCGUGGACUCAUUAUAUAACCCAGGUUGGCCUCAAACUCAUAGUGAUCUUCCUGCUGCAGCCUUCUGAAUGUAAGUAUGAGCCAC